Molecule: ribosomal RNA, 491 nt
Filed under: uncultured bacterium
Lineage: Bacteria
Description: partial 16S ribosomal RNA
Rfam family: Bacterial small subunit ribosomal RNA
Source: RNAcentral
GUGAACGCUGGCGGUAGGCCUAACACAUGCAAGUCGAACGGCAGCACAGUAAGAGCUUGCUCUUACGGGUGGCGAGUGGCGGACGGGUGAGGAAUACAUCGGAAUCUACUUUUUCGUGGGGGAUAACGUAGGGAAACUUACGCUAAUACCGCAUACGACCUACGGGUGAAAGCAGGGGAUCUUCGGACCUUGCGCGAUUGAAUGAGCCGAUGUCGGAUUAGCUAGGUGGCGGGGUAAAGGCCCACCAAGGCGACGAUCCGUAGCUGGUCUGAGAGGAUGAUCAGCCACACUGGAACUGAGACACGGUCCAGACUCCUACGGGAGGCAGCAGUGGGGAAUAUUGGACAAUGGGCGCAAGCCUGAUCCAGCCAUACCGCGUGGGUGGAGAAGGCCUUCGGGUUGUAAAGCCCUUUUGUUGGGAAAGAAAAGCAGCAGGUUAAUACCCCGCUGUUCUGACGGUACCCAAAGAAUAAGCACCGGCUAACUUCGUG